RNAcentral lists this long non-coding RNA (1378 nucleotides) under Lupinus angustifolius (narrow-leaved blue lupine). Its description in RNAcentral is "long non-coding RNA (LANG_LNC000707)". Lineage: Eukaryota; Viridiplantae; Streptophyta; Magnoliopsida; Fabales; Fabaceae. The record is from RNAcentral.
GGAGUUUUUCAAAAGAUUAAAUUUUUAAUUAUCCUCCCCCUAACUCGGCAAUGGCAGUGCCGAUUUCAUUGGAAAUUUUUUUGGCCAGAAUGAAUCUCGGCAAUGGCACUGCCGAUUUUCAUUUACAUAUUUUGGCAAUAAAUACUAUGCCAUCAAUAUUUAUUGUGCAGAGCAAUAUUAUGCACUUAAUGAAUAUAAUUAAUGAAUUCAACCACUCACUAAAUUAAUGAAUAUUAUGCACUUAAUGAAUAUUGUGCAGAAACAAUAUUCAACUAAAUUUAAUGAAUUCAACCAUAAAUAUAUUUAAUUCGGUCAAACAACCUAUUGAAUUAUCCUCCCCCUAAUUAUAUUCAUUAAGUGCAUUCAAUCUUUUGAAAAACUCCUCCCCCAUUGCCGAGUUAGGGGAGGUAAAUUAAAAAAAAAUUAUUACAAAACUCCCCCCAUUGCCGAUUUAGGGGGGAGAUUUAAAAAAAAUCAAUUAUUGAAAAACUCCUCCCCCAUUGCCGAGUUAGGGGAAGAGGUUAAAAAAAAUAUUUGAGAAAAACUCCUCCCCCAUUGCCGAUUUAGGGGGAGGAGAUUAAAAAAAUAAUAUAUUUGGUAAAAACUCCCCCCUAUUGCCGAGUUAGGGGGGAGUACAUUUAAAAAAUAUUUCUUUUCUGUAAAUCGGCAAUGGGGUUGCCGAUUUACCCUAAAACUACACUACUUUGGUAAUUUUUUCAAAAGGUGCACCAAGACCGUAAUUUUUCGGUCAAGGUGCACCAACAAAGUAAAUUUUCCAAUUAUAGACGUUGAUUUCUCUCUCUUGACCUAUUUCUUAAUAAUGCAUUAAUAGUGAAGAUAAUGUACUUUUUGGUUGAUUAGAAUGAUGACCUCAUCCUUAAUUUUUAGGUUUUGAUAAGGUGUUUUCAUCAUAUAUUUUUAUAUAACAUGUAAGAUAAUUAUACAAAUAGGCAUUUCACUUAUAUCUAUUAGAUUCCAUUUAUUAUUUAAAUAAAAAUAAUAUCAACAUGAUUUAGCUGUAUCAUUUAUUAUUAAACCAUUAUAUGCUCUUAAGCUGCUGGUUGAUAAGUAUUUAAUUAUUUAAAAAAAUGAAAUAUUUAAUACUUAUAUCUUGUGCUUAAGACUUACAAAAUCUGAAAAUCAUCAUAAGCUUCUUUCAACAUGAAGACAAAGAUAAUUAGACAUGAAUGAUGUGUCAAAAACUGAUUUUCCUAGAAACUUAGUGGGUGAAGGCUGUAUCAUAGGGAUGGGGAUCACAAUGUCCCCAUUCAUGUCUUAUUUGAUGUACCAAGCCAAUCAUAGAGCUUCAUUCCUUUAAAAAGAAGAAUUAUAAAAACAGAAAUUAAUAUUUUAAUAUUAUUUUGUGAUGUUUAAUUAG